RNAcentral lists this ribosomal RNA (433 nucleotides) under uncultured bacterium. RNAcentral describes it as "partial 16S ribosomal RNA". It matches the Rfam family "Bacterial small subunit ribosomal RNA", at positions 29 to 507 of the family's 1533-position model. The record is from RNAcentral.
AACGAACGCUGGCGGCAUGCCUAACACAUGCAAGUCGAACGAGACCUUCGGGUCUAGUGGCGCACGGGUGCGUAACGCGUGGGAACCUGCCCUUAGGUUCGGAAUAACUCCCCGAAAGGGGUGCUAAUACCGGAUAAUGUCUUCGGACCAAAGAUUUAUCGCCUUUGGAUGGGCCCGCGUUGGAUUAGCUAGUUGGUAGGGUAAAAGCCUACCAAGGCGACGAUCCAUAGCUGGUCUGAGAGGAUGAUCAGCCACACUGGGACUGAGACACGGCCCAGACUCCUACGGGAGGCAGCAGUGGGGAAUAUUGGACAAUGGGCGAAAGCCUGAUCCAGCAAUGCCGCGUGAGUGAUGAAGGCCUUGGGGUUGUAAAGCUCUUUUACCCGGGAUGAUAAUGACAGUACCGGGAGAAUAAGCUCCGGCUAACUACGUG